GAUGAACGCUGGCGGCGUGCCUAAUACAUGCAAGUCGAGCGAACAGACGAGGAGCUUGCUCCUCUGACGUUAGCGGCGGACGGGUGAGUAACACGUGGAUAACCUACCUAUAAGACUGGGAUAACUUCGGGAAACCGGAGCUAGUACCGGAUAAUAUAUUGAACCGCAUGGUUCAAUAGUGAAAUACGGUUUUGCUGUCACUUAUAGAUGGAUCCGCGCCGCAUUAGCUAGUUGGUAAGGUAACGGCUUACCAAGGCAACGAUGCGUAGCCGACCUGAGAGGGUGAUUGGCCACACUGGAACUGAGACACGGUCCCGACUCCUACGGGAGGCAGCAGUAGGGAAGCUUCCGCAAUGGGCGAAAGCCUGACGGAGCAACGCCGCGUGAGUGAAGAAGGUCUUCGGAUCGUAAAACUCUGUUAUUAGGGAAGAACAAAUGUGUAAGUAACUAUGCACGUCUUGACGGUACCUAAUCAGAAAGCCACGGCUAACUACGUG
This 497-nucleotide ribosomal RNA is filed under the name uncultured bacterium. RNAcentral's name for it is "partial 16S ribosomal RNA". It matches the Rfam family "Bacterial small subunit ribosomal RNA", at positions 28 to 507 of the family's 1533-position model. The record is from RNAcentral.